RNAcentral lists this ribosomal RNA (460 nucleotides) under uncultured bacterium. Its description in RNAcentral is "partial 16S ribosomal RNA". It matches the Rfam family "Bacterial small subunit ribosomal RNA", at positions 338 to 795 of the family's 1533-position model. The record is from RNAcentral.
CCUACGGGUGGCAGCAGUGAGGAAUAUUGGUCAAUGGACGAGAGUCUGAACCAGCCAAGUAGCGUGAAGGAUGACUGCCCUAUGGGUUGUAAACUUCUUUUAUAAAGGAAUAAAACGAGGCACGUGUGCCUUUUUGCAGGUACUUUAUGAAUAAGGAUCGGCUAACUCCGUGCCAGCAGCCGCGGUAAUACGGAGGAUCCGAGCGUUAUCCGGAUUUAUUGGGUUUAAAGGGAGCGUAGAUGGGUUGUUAAGUCAGUUGUGAAAGUUUGCGGCUCAACCGUAAAAUUGCAAUUGAUACUGGCAGUCGUGAGUACAGUUGAGGUAGGCGGAAUUCGUGGUGUAGCGGUGAAAUGCUUAGAUAUCACGAAGAACCCCGAUUGCGAAGGCAGCUUACUAAACUGUGACUGACAUUGAUGCUCGAAAGUGUGGGUAUCAAACAGGAUUAGAUACCCCGGUAGUC